Molecule: long non-coding RNA, 1318 nt
Filed under: Cricetulus griseus (Chinese hamster)
Lineage: Eukaryota; Metazoa; Chordata; Mammalia; Rodentia; Cricetidae
Description: lncRNA (ENSCGRG00015033467.1)
Source: RNAcentral
AAUGGCCGGCGCCGCGGCCGACGGAAGUCAGUCGUGCGUCUCUGCGGCUCAGCCGACCCAUUUCCGGCCGCCGGUGGUCCGUCGGAGGCGUUCCGGGUGGCCCGCCCCCGGGAGGCUUGUCACACGGUCCGGGCCGAGGCGGAGCGGGGCUCGGGUCCUCACAGGACUGCGAGUCAGAGUUUCCCCCUCGCGCCAGCGCCGCCUCAAAGGUCAGGGCUCGCCCACUCUCCGGUGGCGCCCGCCUGACCUUUCGUGGGCUCCCAGGGAAGUUCUCCGCGGCGUUGGGAACCCGCCCAUCAGCUGGGCGCCGAGGCCCCAGCCUUUUAUCUCCAGCACUCGGGGUCAGAGGCAGGAGGAUGGCCGCGAGCUCCAGUUCUAGUCGAGACUGAGCUGCUAUGUGGGACAGUCUCAAACAGGCACACGCACACCAAAACAAAAAACAAACAAACAAAAAAACAAAACACUUUUUUUUCUAUUUCGGUAAAUGUCCCAACGGCCUCUCUUCCUCACAGAGAUGAAAAACGUUAACUUGACGCUGCAAGUGCACGAGUCACAGGCACCGUCUGCUCGGAUGACCGUGACGUGAGAAAGAUGAAACACAGCGAUUGCUGAACCGCACCGACUUCCUGAAACCUGGGAGGCUUUUGGCUUGUGCUUCUUCCCACCUUGCAUAAUGACUUGUCAGCUGUUGAGUGAAAAGGCUCGUGGAUAGGAUGGGGCUGUUCUGACAGACUAACAGGUGUCUUCAUGACCAGUGUCACAGCAGUCUGUUUUGGUAUGUUCAUGAGAGUGCAAAUGCCCUUGGCGUUGUGUUUCGGGCCAUUGUGAGCCACCACCUCAGGGUUUGAGACUUACCAUUUAUUGGAUAAAAUCAUUGCUGCCUCAACUCCAUUUCAGAUCUUCAUGGUGGUGUGGAGAUGUCAUAGUGUGAGCUUCUGAUUGUGUUGCCCUCAAACUAUUGCCAGGGCCAUUGCAACAGCCCUGAACCUAGCCCCACCACCAUCUGGCCGCAGAGGUCACCUUCUCAAGGUGAAGUCGCCUUCCUGGGGUGUCCCCAGCCAGGUCCCUGAACUGACACACUGGAUUAAUCCUUAAGUGAAGAGACAAGGGUAUGUGUCCACCUAGAGAUGGAUUUCAUUCUGAUACUACAGGCAUGAACCACCUUGCCCAGUACCCUUAAGUUGCCCCUGUGUAUUUCUGUCUGUCACCCUUGGUUUCUACACUUUCAAAGCUGAAGGGCUAGCUCAAAAGCCAAGUCAUUCUAGAACUCCUAAAAUAGUUUCUUUUUAAAUCCUUAAACAACAUCCUACAUUUGCUC